Molecule: long non-coding RNA, 1070 nt
Filed under: Homo sapiens (human)
Lineage: Eukaryota; Metazoa; Chordata; Mammalia; Primates; Hominidae
Description: HSALNT0344810
Source: RNAcentral
AGUGUGUGGAGUGAAGGGAGAGUCUCCGGACAUGAGAAGAGCUGCUCUGAGCAGUGUGGCGGCCGUUUUUGUUUCCUUUCUCUUUCUCCUCCUGGGGCUAGGCAGACACCGGGCACAAAGAAGGAAACAGGCCUUCUGUGAGUGCAGCAGCAAUCAAUAAAGAAGCAGCCCAGAGCGGCCAUCCCUCUUCUGUCUGCUGUGACGCUCCGGCCCAGGUGUCCCUGGGGCUGCCCUCCCCAGGGCCUGUGUGUUGCAUAUAUGGGGUGGGGUGAGGGCAGCUGGAAUUGAGGUGGGGACCCUGCAAUUGUGAGGGGCUGCGUGGCAGAGGUGGGCGGCUCUCGCAGGCCUCUUCCUGGACACUUGCACCCCCUCAUCCUGCUCUCUUUUUCUUCCUGCACUUACAUCAUCUCAUUUGUUUAUUUUCUCAUUGUCCGUCUCCCUCUACAGGAGCACCAGAGGAGGGGGACUUCAUCUGACUUGUUCAGCACUGUCUCCCAGGCCCUGGCACAGAGGGAGCACUCGAUACACACCGAUGGGCUGAAGGUGUGAAUGGAUCUGGGGACUAGAGUGAUGGUUAUUUGGCAGACAGCAUGCCCCGCCUGGGCAGUAGCCGUGAAGACUCUUCUUUUCCUCUCCUCGCCUGCACUCUUUAGGAUUGAACAGCAUUGGUUCAAUGCAUAUUCUGGGAGCACAGAGAAAAAAGGGAUCAAGUUCCACCAUUAUGCAAAAGGGACUCCUGUAAGCCAGACCCUGAGCCGUUGUCAAAACACAGCUUAAUCCCCAUUCCCUGGGCCCGAGACCCUGCAGCCCCCACGCUGCCCGGCUUCCGGUCUUACCUGGGGCAACCUGACCAACAAGAACGCGGAAGGCCAGGAGCCAAAAACAGAGACUCCUGAUGGGUAACAGAAGGAAAAGGCAGGACAUCCCAGUGCUAAGGAGAGUGACCUCAGACACCAGAGACACAGCAAGUGCAGCAGAGCUGACGGCUCUGGGAACACUGGUCUUCAAAGUCUUCCCCGUUGUUGGUUUUGUUGUCUUUAUUUACAAAUAAAGUAAAUAUUUCUUAUUUA